RNAcentral lists this ribosomal RNA (445 nucleotides) under Lacticaseibacillus rhamnosus. Its description in RNAcentral is "bacterial SSU rRNA". It matches the Rfam family "Bacterial small subunit ribosomal RNA", at positions 61 to 480 of the family's 1533-position model. The record is from RNAcentral. Lineage: Bacteria; Bacillati; Bacillota; Bacilli; Lactobacillales; Lactobacillaceae.
GUCGAACGAGUUCUGAUUUUGAAAGGUGCUUGCAUCUUGAUUUAAUUUUGAACGAGUGGCGGACGGGUGAGUAACACGUGGGUAACCUGCCCUUAAGUGGGGGAUAACAUUUGGAAACAGAUGCUAAUACCGCAUAAAUCCAAGAACCGCAUGGUUCUUGGCUGAAAGAUGGCGUAAGCUAUCGCUUUUGGAUGGACCCGCGGCGUAUUAGCUAGUUGGUGAGGUAACGGCUCACCAAGGCAAUGAUACCGUAGCCGAACUGAGAGGUUGAUCGGCCACAUUGGGACUGAGACACGGCCCAAACUCCUACGGGAGGCAGCAGUAGGGAAUCUUCCACAAUGGACGCAAGUCUGAUGGAGCAACGCCGCGUGAGUGAAAGAAGGCUUUCCGGGUCGUAAAACUCUGUUGUUGGAAAAAAAUGGUCCGCAAAAUUAACUGGUUGUCC